This is an unclassified non-coding RNA of Cavia aperea (Brazilian guinea pig), 99 nucleotides long. It matches the Rfam family "Y RNA". From Rfam's summary of the family: Y RNAs are components of the Ro ribonucleoprotein particle (Ro RNP), in association with Ro60 and La proteins. The Y RNAs and Ro60 and La proteins are well conserved, but the function of the Ro RNP is not known. The record is from Ensembl. Lineage: Eukaryota; Metazoa; Chordata; Mammalia; Rodentia; Caviidae.
GGCUGGUCCGAUGGCAGUGGGUUAGCAGAACUUACUAACAUUAGUGUCACUAAAGUUGGUAUACCAACCCCCCCUCCCGCUAAAUUUGACUGGCUUUUA